GACGAACGCUGGCGGGAGGCCUAACACAUGCAAGUCAAACGGGAUUGGGAGCUUGCUCCCAUGAGAGUGGCGCACGGGUGAGUAACGCGUAUGCAACCUACCUUUAACUGAGGGAUAGCCCAUAGAAAUGUGGAUUAAUACCUCAUAGUUCUAUUAGAUCGCAUGAUUUGAUAGAUAAAGCUCCGGCGGUUAAAGAUGGGCAUGCGUGACAUUAGUUUGUUGGUGAGGUAACGGCUCACCAAGACUACGAUGUCUAGGGGUUCUGAGAGGAUGAUCCCCCACACUGGUACUGAGACACGGACCAGACUCCUACGGGAGGCAGCAGUGAGGAAUAUUGGUCAAUGGGCGCAAGCCUGAACCAGCCAUCCCGCGUGAAGGAUGAAGGCCCUAUGGGUCGUAAACUUCUUUUAUACACCAAGAAAAACACCCACGUGUGGGUGCCCGACGGUAGUGUAUGAAUAAGCAUCGGCUAACUCCGUGCCAGCAGCCGCGGUAAUACGGAGGAUGCAAGCGUUAUCCGGAUUCAUUGGGUUUAAAGGGUGCGUAGGCGGCUUUUUAAGUCAGUGGUGAAAUCUUGCCGCUUAACGGUAAAAUUGCCAUUGAUACUGAUAAGCUUGAGUACAAUUGAGGUAAGCGGAAUGUGUAGUGUAGCGGUGAAAUGCUUAGAUAUUACACAGAACACCGAUUGCGAAGGCAGCUUACUAAACUGUUACUGACGCUGAUGCACGAAAGCGUGGGGAGCGAACAGGAUUAGAUACCCUGGUAGUCCACGCCGUAAACGAUGAUCACUCGCUGUAUGCGAUACACAGUAUGCGGCCAAGCGAAAGCAUUAAGUGAUCCACCUGGGGAGUACGAUCGCAAGGUUG
Molecule: ribosomal RNA, 866 nt
Filed under: uncultured bacterium
Lineage: Bacteria
Description: bacterial SSU rRNA
Rfam family: Bacterial small subunit ribosomal RNA
Source: RNAcentral